GUCCACGCCGUAAACGAUGGGUGCUAGGUGUCGCGGGCUUUGACCCCUGCGGUGCCGCAGCUAACGCAUUAAGCACCCCGCCUGGGGAGUACGGCCGCAAAGGCUAAAAACUCAAAGGAAUUGACGGGGGCCCCGCACAAGCGGUGGAGCAUGUGGUUUUAAUUCGACGCAACGCGCAGAACCUUACCUGGGCUAGAAAAUGCGAGAACCUGGUUGAAAGGUCGGGGUGCUCUUCGGAGAACUCGUAGUUAGGUGCUGCAUGGCUGUCGU
RNAcentral lists this ribosomal RNA (270 nucleotides) under uncultured bacterium. RNAcentral's name for it is "partial 16S ribosomal RNA". It matches the Rfam family "Bacterial small subunit ribosomal RNA", at positions 793 to 1055 of the family's 1533-position model. The record is from RNAcentral.